UAGAAGAGGAAAUAAAUCAGGAUUUAGAAUUUCAUUUUUAUAUCGCUCACUGGAGUCAACUGAAGGCCAAUUUUUGUGCUUGAUAUUGGUUUAGAUGAAAGUUUUCAGUUUCUUGUCGUUUGAGUUGUUGUUGAUGCUGAGAAAACUGUAGCAAGAGAAAGGGAGGAACAGUCAAAUUGUUGAUUUCCAAGGGUUUUGAUGUCAGUUAUAUUGACUGUUGCAUUUGUUUUGUUGGAAACCAAAAUGUGGAAUCUGAAGUAUUAAUUUUCUGCAGUUACACACUUGAAUUUUUGAAAAAUGGGAAUUUGUUCUUUAAUUUUGCCAUUUUCAAAGGACAUAGUAACAGGACAACCAAAUAAUCCUAAAAGUUUCAGUCUUUAUGUUAUUAACAGGAUCAGCUUCUGUUGUCAAUUUCUUCACUGACGUUUCCAUGUGCUCCUAUAUUUCUUUUACACCUCUGACCACAGUUUUGCAGGUUCACACGAAUUA
This 489-nucleotide unclassified non-coding RNA is filed under the name Hevea brasiliensis (rubber tree). Lineage: Eukaryota; Viridiplantae; Streptophyta; Magnoliopsida; Malpighiales; Euphorbiaceae. The record is from RNAcentral.